UAUAGUACGCGAUUUUUUGGGUCGUUACUUUUUAAGUUCCAAGACUAUAACGACUGAAAUGCUUGACAGAUAAACGCUGGAAACUAUUUUGAAUGAAAGGACAAUAAUUUUGUAAGAUUCGCCAAUUGUUGUCAAAUGUGUUAAAAAUUACUAAAGGACAUAUUGAACCCUUUCUUCAAGUUAUUUUGGUUGCGCUUUUAAAGUUGUUUCAUCAGAUCUUUCGGGCAACUUUUGCGGCCGCUAGAAUUUAUUAACUUUCUACGGACUUCUAACUGGCGGAGAAAGAAUUAUUUUUUUGGAGCAGGCGGGGGUUGAGAUCGUUCCACUAGUUUUCAUUUACCUUUGAAUUGCAAAGACCAAUUUAUUUCUUUUUAAAAACCUCAGUGAAACAAACCGUUUGAAUGAUAGAAAAAUGACAGACUGGAAGUAGAACUGAAAACUCUCUCAGCUGCGUCUUUUGGUUGAAUCAAAUACAAUCAAAAUGAAAUCGAAAAUUGGAUUUUUAGCUCUAAUGUGCCAUAUUCUGUAUUUUCAAGGAUGCAGUUGUGUUUGGAAUUGCCCAAAUCGAAAUCCCCAGUGCAUGGCAGAAAACGAGAUGAUACAAGAUGGUGGCGGUUCUACAGCAUAUGUUUAUUCCGGUGGAUCUACCAGCUGGGAAGAUUGGUGGACGUAUGAUGGCAUAUCUGGUCCUGAUUUCUGGGGUCUGUUGAAUCUUGAAUGGAGUCUUUGCAGUAAAGGACGAAGACAGUCACCCGUUAAUAUUGAUCCAGCUGGACUUCUUUACGAUCCAAGCCUUCGCCCCAUACAUGUUGAUAAAAUUAGGGUAAACGGCGUCAUCACCAACACCGGACAUGGGGUGAUAUUUCGAACAACCCCCUCGUCUCAUAAUGAAAUACUGAAUAUAACUGGUGGACCUCUUUCAUAUAAAUAUCGCUUUAGUGAGAUCCAUAUUCAUUUUGCAAGAUCUGAUGAGAAAGGCUCAGAGCAUCUGAUUUCAGGUUAUCAGUUUCCAGCAGAACUGCAGAUCUAUGGCUACAACAGUGAUCUUUAUCAAAACAUAUCGGAGGCAAUUGCUCUUCAGAAAAAUCAAGGUUUAGUUGGCAUAUCAGUUCUUCUACAGACUGGAGACUUGUCCAAUUCUGAACUCAGAAUCAUAACAAGUCAGUUGCAUAAAAUAAUUCAUAGAGGCCAGGAGGCGCAGCUAAAAUAUUUGUCUCUGCGUGAUCUUAUGCCAGACACUCCAUAUUAUAUGACGUACGAAGGAUCAACAACAAUGCCCGGAUGCUACGAGACCGUGACAUGGAUCAUAAUGAACAAGCCCAUCUACAUAACUAAACAGCAGCUAUUUGCGUUAAGGAGGCUAAUGCAAGGCGAUGAAAGGAACCCUAAAGCACCACUGGCAGACAACUUCAGGCCAACUCUUGAUCUGAACCAAAGAUCAAUCAGAACUAACAUUGAAUUCCGAAGGAAACCGCAAACGUCCAAGAUCAUCAGAAAGGACCUUGAUAGAAAUCCCCAAGUCUCUCCGGAGGUAACCAUCACGAAAAAGGGUCAAGUCGUUCACUUUAGAGCGGAUGAGUCCCCCCUCCCCUUCCCCUUUCAUCAUCAUUAUUCUAGUCAACAGCAGGACCAUAACAUAUUUAGCACACCUUUCCCCAUCAUCAACAUUUCAACUCAACCCAAGUCCUUCCAGUCGAUGUUUGUCUUCCUUCGUGUGUUUUGUGGUGCUGAAGUUCCUCUCACUACGCACCUUAUUUCUUGAUGGUCAUAAAUUUGUGUCAAAACAUUAUCAAAAAGGCUCUCUGAUGGAACAAAACAUUUGAACCAUGUUUCGACACGAUUUGAGUAGUAUCUUCUAAAGUUGCUAUUGAUACACAAAAUCUCAAGGGUUGUAUUAAUUAACCGUCCUUGAAUCCAGAUGAAAUCACAGAUUUUCAAAUUUCCUGAAAGGUACUCAACAUUCGUUUCAAAACAGAUACAGAAUGUUUUGGCAUCUUACAGAGAAAUGGAAUUUCUUUCUGCAUUAAAAUGAUUCAUCUUUUCAGUUUAAAAUAUACCUUCCGGAAGAGUUGUUUUUUUAUUUCAAGAAUGUAGCUGUACAUUGUAAUAUGCAACGCUUUUCAGAUAAAAAUUUCUCAGUUUUAGCUUGAAAUUUUAAAAAUAUAUAUAAAAAGAAUUUGUCUUAACAAUUUCUGUGAAUUAUGACCACACCUCUGCUUUAUUGCAUUCAGGAACUUGUAUUUAUUUACUAAAGUCCUGUUCUCAUACAUGAUUCUUUGUCAUCUCUGAAGUUAAAAUCUUUUCCUGUGUUUUGUCAUUAUUGAUCAUUUUAUUUUCAGAAUGACAAAACUCACCGCCAAGCUUCAUCAGUGUUCUCUAUCAAAUGUUAUCAUGCUCAUUCACCGCUAUGAACGCUCAAUCAAGACGAAUAUUAAGCCAUGUUUUCCUAAAACACUCCAAAUGCUAUCCAGCAAAUUGAUUUAUUUCCCGAGCAAAAUUAUUGUAACCGUAGUGCUGCAAAUGUAUAUCAUUAGUUGAAUAAUCAAAGUGUCAUAAAUGGAUUGUUUUAAUGAUAAUUUAAUACUAUCUAGAUGUAUAAGUGUGCUUAUGUUCAUUGGAAUUAAUUUUUCUGAUAUAUAAUUCAAAUUUUCAAGUAGCAAUAUACAGAAUGCUUACAAUAAUGGAAUAACUCUUCAGUCAGGCAACCAAUUUGAAGAAAAACACUACUGAAACAGUGGUAGUUUUUGUGAAAUAAAUGUAGAUAUAUGCUUUGUGAGUUUAUCCUUCUACUUAUUAAUGUAUAAAGACAAAGUUAUUUGUGGUAAAAUGUAUUUUGCAGAACUAAGCACUUUCUUCAUGCAAAAUGAAUUUUGUGUGAUGUCAAAAAUGAAAAGCGAUUGCCUCUCAAAGAAAAGCAAUUGAAAUAAUGUGUAAUACUAGUUCAAUUUUAUGGACUUCGGGUAAAAAAAGGAAAAUGAAUGCUGAAAAUGCUCUAUAAGGUAUGAAUAACCUAAAUCAUUUACAAAAACUUGUGAACUGGGUUUUUCGUCAAUAUUGAAAACAGAAGAGACAACAAAAUAUUGCCUUCGUCCUAUGGAAGUGAGUCUUAUCUUAUUCAGUGAAACUUAUCUUGUGGAAUAUAGUUCAAUUAGAUGUCUACUCCUUAAUGGAGGAGAAUAUAAUUAGUAACAUUAUACAGGUAAGUAUAAGAAAAUAAAGGCAAAAUAGAGUUGAUCAUUUGUUUUGGAUUAUCUCAGUAUUAUAAGAAUUAUUGUAUCAAAUCAUCCAUCCUUUUUUAAAAAUAUGUAAACGAUUUCCAUUGAUUUUUUUUAUAUAAACAAUGUGCAUAUCUAUCAUAAUUGUGAAAUUUAUACGUUAUCAAAUGAAGACAUAUCUGCAUGUACUCGUAAUGGAUGUAUAUUCCUUUUUAAAUUAGAAUUUAAAAUGUGCAUUUAAUAAUGUGCUCUUACCAUUGUGUUUCAUGAAUCAUGAAUAGGAAAGAUUACAAAAUAUCUUAUUUAAAACAAAGUAUUUUGGAGUGUUAAUAAAAUAAAGAAUGUGCUUUUGGAAAGAACAAUGACAGGACAGAACCAUUGAACUCUCAAGAGUAAAACUUGAUAUACAGAAUGAAAUUCCAGAGACAUUUUGAUAAUUUUACAUGAUGUAAGACCCUUAGAAUA
Molecule: RNA transcript, 3680 nt
Organism: Argiope bruennichi
Lineage: Eukaryota; Metazoa; Arthropoda; Arachnida; Araneae; Araneidae
Gene name: carbonic anhydrase-related protein 10-like
Exons: 11
Source: RefSeq, a predicted model, not a curated record